RNA transcript from Zalophus californianus (California sea lion), 2869 nucleotides. It is a transcript of the gene named retinol dehydrogenase 16-like, with no coding region annotated. The transcript is spliced from 3 exons. The record is from RefSeq and is a predicted model, not a curated record. Lineage: Eukaryota; Metazoa; Chordata; Mammalia; Carnivora; Otariidae.
CUGGACCAGAACAAAUGGAUACAGAGAAUUCUAAUGCCAAACCUGGAAUAACAAAUGAAAUGUUCCUUUGGGAAUGUCUGACAGAGGAGCAGGAAGUAUAAGGAUUUUUAAAAUUGUUUGUGUUUUGUUUUGUUUUUUUAAUAGUCAGGGACAAGUUUCAACCAGGAUAUGAAAAUGAACUGGAAGCAAACAACUUCAAAGGCAGAAUUGAGACUCUCCUUAGAAAUCUUGUGUAAUCCACUGUCUUGUGUAAUAUUAAGAGGCCUUCAAAAUAAGGACAGAAAUGCCAACUCUUCUAAGUUUGCCAGGAAAGGAGAAGUCUGAAUUUCCCCUUCUACUGAAGAAUGAGGAGCACCCUCCCCCUGCCACCUCCCCCCGCUCCCAGGGCGGGGGGCUCUACCAUCUUCUGCACCAGUACCAGGAAAGGCAGGUGAUGGGUUGGCCACCUCCAAGACAAUAAUGACUUAAUUAUGAUGUGUGACUCGGGCUUAGGGAACCUGCUGGCCAGGCAGCUGGACCUGCGAGGCUUGAGGGUGCUGGCCGCGUGUCUGACGGAGGAGGGAGCCCAGCAGCUGAGAGGCCAGACGUCAGACAGGCUGGAGAUGGUGAUCCUGGACGUCACCAAGACAGAAAGCAUCUCUGUGGCUGCCCAGUGGGUGAAGGAGUGUGUGAGGAAGGAGAAAAGAACAAUGAUCUGGAUCCAAGACAACAUCUAAUUCUACUUAGUCAUACUCUAUGGUCCCGUCCAGAUCCAAGAGAUUAAACGUCAGAAGAGAAGCUCACAGACUGGAAUUUGGUCAUUCAGGGCAAGGAGGGGAAGGAAGUAUGCUCCAGGAAAUCUCCUAGAGCUGGAAGAAUGCAUCUAUUAGCUCUAUACCAUUUAGGAAUAAAGGAUAAUAGCUACAGAUUGAGUGAUUUGACCUUAGAUGAGCAAGGCCGACUCCAGUGAGCUAAUGGCUAGUAAGAUUCACCAGUUCUCUGGGAUAAGGGAGACUGUCAGGUUUGCAGGACAAGUUAAUGCCAUGGGGAACAGAAUUCAUAAGAGUCAACCGGCCGAGAUGAAUUACUGCUAACCAUUGCUGCAGUAGAGAGUAAAGCACUUGCGUAGAAUCGGUCUGGAAAAUGCAAGCAGGGAGAGUGUGUGGCUGGAAGUCUCACUGGGAAGCUACGUAGGGACAUGGCCAGUGCCCAAUCCUGCUGCAUCUGCUGGAAGAGUCCUGGGCUGAGCUCUGCAAGAGGGGCUUUUCCUUGCGCAGGCAGAGAUUCCGUGAACAGAAAGAGAACCAUGUCAUGUGCAGAAGAGUGCCGAGGCUGGUUCAGUCAAAACCGCGAUGCCAGGGUGCAGCCGAGUAGCUGAUCAAAGGACAGCAACAGCGGCAGCUUGUGUGCAAGGAAUGGCAGAGGCAUGCUGGACCAGGUGUGAGGAGAUGGAGGAGAGCGGCACAGAACAAAGACCAGGAGUGGUUUCCCUUGAUUCCUGUGAACUCAGCGGUAGCUACUUUAAAGAGCUACCUGAGGUCAGAUCACCGGCUGAUGGGGAUUUCCACUGGACAAGUUCCAGAGAAGAAGGGAAUGCUUUCUGCAGACAGGGUCUCUAACUGGGAAAAUGGAAGUUUGGUCAACAAUAGCAUUAUAUGAGUGGCAUAAUCACUGUGAACUAGCACCUGAAGCUUACCGAAGCUAUUUUUCAGAGACAAACCUGUUCAAAAUGGAAUCCUUUUCUCUCUUGGAAAAUGGAAAAUGAGUUGAGUCCUCACUCUAACAAGGCAGAGCAUAGGGGUGAAGGGGCGCUUUCUUCCAGGGAAGGAUACUGUACUUGUCACCCAAGGAUGGAUGCAGUCAGCGCUAGGACUGUGUGUUAAGGCGAGAAGGCGAGAAUGUCUUCAUUUGUACAAAGGAAGUUGCUGCUUGUCAUCCAAGGCAUAAAGCUGUUUUGUUCUUUUAUGGAAGCUCAAAAUACAUAGAAGGAUUGAGUGGAUGCUGAGUUGCCAAAGGGAUGGAUUGCACUGGUUAUGAGCUAUUUUCUCUAAGCUUCCACCCUUCUGUGCUCCACUUUACGCUGCUCUGCCUGGAACCCUGCAAACCAGAUUUCUCUUCUGCCCGCUCUCCCUGUUUGGGUCUCCUACUAGAGGCUCUACAGGGUGGCUUGAAGGCUGGAGGGCUGAGGGAUUUAUUCCCUCUGGUUUGCUUUCUGCAACAGUCAUUAGCUGAAAAAUAGCUUCGGUAAGCUUCGGGUGCUAGUUCACUGUGAUUCUUCCACUUGUAUAAUGCUAUGUUGACCAAACUUCCGUUUUCCCAGUUAGAGACCCUGUCCGGUGGAAAUCCCCAUCAGCUGAUGAUGUCAGUGUCAGCCUAGCAACCGUUCUUCACUGGGCCAGCAACCCCUGACUUCAGCAGCAAUCCUGGACUGCAGGUUGUAGUUCUUCCCUCCACUCCGUAAACAAGCCUGAUGAUGUCCCUCAGAGAUACCACCGCCAGCAAGUUGGCACCUUCUCCCGAGAGGUCCGGAUCCCUGUGCUGCAGAGACCUCCUCAGAGCUCUGACAGGGCACAAUCACCAGUCAGCCAGUGCCGCAUCCGCCAGGGUCUGAGUUCCAGCUCCUCGCGAGUCUCUCCUUGGAGCACGAAGCUCCACAUUUUCCCAACAUCCUUUCUUUCCAGCCCUGGGAGAGGCAUUUGCUUCCUGCAGUUACCCCUUCAGAAAAUUUCAGUGUUCCUUUUCAUAUUUUACAUCUCUCAAUCACUGGUUAACAAUCCCAUGUGUUAAAUUCUCUCUCUUAAAAUAACUGCAGUCGCAUGGAGCACUGGGUGUUAUGAACAAACAAUGAAUCAUGGAACACUACACCAAAACAAAUUAUGUAAUAUAUGGU